UACGAAGGGGGCUAGCGUUGCUCGGAAUGACUGGGCGUAAAGGGCGCGUAGGCGGAUGGCACAGUCAGAUGUGAAAUUCCCGGGCUUAACCUGGGGGCUGCAUUUGAUACGUGUUGUCUAGAGUGAGGAAGAGGGUCGUGGAAUUCCCAGUGUAGAGGUGAAAUUCGUAGAUAUUGGGAAGAACACCGGUGGCGAAGGCGGCAUCCUGGACCAACACUGACGCUGAGGAGCGAAAGCCAGGGGAGCAAACGGG
This 253-nucleotide ribosomal RNA is filed under the name uncultured bacterium. RNAcentral describes it as "partial 16S ribosomal RNA". It matches the Rfam family "Bacterial small subunit ribosomal RNA", at positions 524 to 776 of the family's 1533-position model. The record is from RNAcentral.